CGGACGGGUGAGUAACGCGUGAGAAUUUGCCUUUAGGAGGGGGACAACAACUGGAAACGGUUGCUAAUACCCCAUAUGCUUUCGAGUGAAAUGGAUUUUUCCGCCUAAAGAGAAGCUUGCGGCUGAUUAGCUUGUUGGUGAGGUAAUGGCUCACCAAGGCGACGAUCAGUAUCUGGUUUGAGAGGACGAUCAGACACACUGGAACUGAGACACGGUCCAGACUCCUACGGGAGGCAGCAGUGGGGAAUUUUCCGCAAUGGGCGAAAGCCUGACGGAGCAAUACCGCGUGAGGGAUGACGGCCUAUGGGUUGUAAACCCCUUUUUUCAGGGAGGAAUCAAAUGACGUGUACCUGAAGAAUAAGCAUCGGCUAACUCCGUGCCAGCAGCCGCGGUAAGACGGAGGAUGCAAGUGUUAUCCGGAAUCACUGGGCGUAAAGCGUCUGUAGGUGGUCCAAUAAGUCAACUGUUAAAUCUUGAGGCUCAACCUCAAAAUCGCAGUCGAAACUAUUAGACUAGAGUAUAGUAGGGGUAAAGGGAAUUUCCAGUGGAGCGGUGAAAUGCGUAGAGAUUGGAAAGAACACCGAUGGCGAAGGCACUUUACUGGGCUAUUACUAACACUCAGAGACGAAAGCUAGGGUAGCAAAUGGGAUUAGAUACCCCAGUAGUC
RNAcentral lists this ribosomal RNA (667 nucleotides) under uncultured diatom. RNAcentral describes it as "SSU rRNA". It matches the Rfam family "Bacterial small subunit ribosomal RNA", at positions 99 to 795 of the family's 1533-position model. The record is from RNAcentral. Lineage: Eukaryota; Bacillariophyta.